AACGAACGCUGGCGGCAUGCCUAACACAUGCAAGUCGAACGAGAUCUUCGGGUCUAGUGGCGCACGGGUGCGUAACGCGUGGGAAUCUGCCCUUUGGUUCGGAAUAACAGUUGGAAACGACUGCUAACACCGGAUGAUGACGACAGUCCAAAGAUUUAUCGCCAGAGGAUGAGCCCGCGUAGGAUGAGCUAGUUGGUGUGGUAAAGGCGCACCAAGGCGACGAUCCUUAGCUGGUCUGAGAGGAUGAUCAGCCACACUGGGACUGAGACACGGCCCAGACUCCUACGGGAGGCAGCAGUGGGGAAUAUUGGACAAUGGGCGAAAGCCUGAUCCAGCAAUGCCGCGUGAGUGAUGAAGGACUUAGGGUUGUAAAGCUCUUUUACCCGGGAUGAUAAUGACAGUACCGGGAGAAUAAGCUCCGGCUAACUCCGUGCCAGCCGCCGCCGUAA
This 449-nucleotide ribosomal RNA is filed under the name uncultured bacterium. RNAcentral's name for it is "partial 16S ribosomal RNA". It matches the Rfam family "Bacterial small subunit ribosomal RNA", at positions 29 to 523 of the family's 1533-position model. The record is from RNAcentral.